UUGAAAGACCCUUUCAGACCCUAGGUCUAUAAAGUGGCCCUAGAGAGAAGUUCUGCAAACUGAAAUCUAGACUGAAGACAGACAUGGCCUCCUUCAAGCUUGUGAUCCUUGUAUUCCUUCUGCUGCUCGGCACUGCAGCCAAAGGAAGAUUUGUGGAUCUAGAACAAGUGCAGGUGAAUCUGAAGGACACUGAUGAUGUUAUGGAUGAUGAUGCCUGUCAAGACUGCAUCCAUAUUAUUGAGCUCCUGAAACACCUGAUGUUAGAUGAACAGUUUCAGCAGGAUGACCUUCAGGUGAAGCUGAAGACCGCUCUGGAGGCGAUGUGCAACUCACUGCCUGAUGAAAUCUCAAAGAUGUGCCAUGAUCAGGUGGAGAGCAAGCUUCCUCUGGCCCUGACCUUCAUCACCAGCCUGAUGGUUCCUAAUGAUGUGUGUUCUUAUAUUGGCCUGUGUAAUGGCCAGUUGAGGGGCCAGAUGCAUGACCUGCUGAUGAAUCACAUGCAGAAGACCAUCAGGGUCCCCACUGCUACACUGAACUCCUCCAUUCCGUGCACUGUUUGCACAUAUAUCGUAGAUGUACUGCAAUGUCUCAUCCCCAAAACAGAGACUCUAAUAACCACUUUGCUCAGCGACGUGUGCCAGAUCCUCCCUCCGCUGGUGCGGGCCCAGUGUACAGGGAUAGUUAAGAAAUAUGUGAAGAUGUUGAUCAACAUCCUGCUGGGCAUCAUUUCCCCCGACUCCCUCUGCUCUGCCCUGCGUUUGUGUCCAAACAUGAAAACGUCUGACAGAGCAGUGUUUGCUCUCUCUGACUGCGACUCCUGUCUGACUCUGGUUGUUCUGACCCAUCGGAGUCUGGGCAACAAUGCCACAGAACUCCAGGCUGCCUCCUUCCUCCGCACCGUCUGCCAGUCUCACCCCGACGCCCUGCCAAAGUGUGAGAGCUUCACUCAGCGCCAUGGCAACCAGAUUCUGGGGCUUCUGGGUAAAGAGAUGACAGCUAUGGAAACAUGUGAGAGAGCAGAUCUAUGUGUGAAGGACAGGAGAGAUUCAGCUGCUGCAGGUGACCCCUGCACUCUGGGCCCCAGCUACAGCUGCAAAGACCAGCAGACUGCGGAGAAGUGUGGGAUGGCUGCCUUCUGUCAGAAGAACAUGUGGAACUAAAUACUGAAGUGCCCUUCACACGGCGGACUUUCAGCUUUUUUUUCAUCGCAAACUGCACGUCAGCCACUUAAAGCCUGAUGGUCUUACGAAAGCUCUGACCAGCGCUUCACCUCUUCUCCAAAACUUCUAUGGUUAUAUCUACUUUUCUAAUCUGGGCUACAAGUUCAAUCCGUGUCGUUGCCCGCACCACAAGUCAUUCUGGCCUCUGCUAUUGCUAAGACAAACAAGAUAAAGCAGCUUUGAUUUUGUGUGUAAACACGUUCUGUUGGAUGAGCCAACUGAGUUUACUAUGACCUGAGCACUGUUAUUGAUUUACCGGCAUUCACGUGAUCAGGGUUUUUCCUUUUUACAAUAACUUGCACAAUAACCAUUCACACCACUCAAGUCAAAGUCCUGACACAUGACUACACAUGGCAUGUUCAGGCAAACCAGCGUUAAGCCUUCGAAAUUCUAACCACCGGACACUGCUGCCACAAGCAGUACCUGACCAUUUUUUGCAUGUAAACUGCAUGAUGAGGGCCUACUGAGGGAUGUUUCUAGGUUUCUAGCUCUUUUUUUCAUCUUCUUAAACUUUGGAAAACCUACAGUGAUGUGUAGCAAAGUUUAUCAGCCCCAUCUAACCUAUUCAUCAUUGUAAAGGGACUGCCAUAGGACCACCACUGUCCAGACAUUUGGGUGGUGGACCAUUCUCAGUGACAGUGUGUGUUGCUCUGGUACGAGUGUCUCACAGUGGUGCUGCUGCUGUUGUGUAUAUGUCCGGCUCAGAAAUAUCUUCCCCACAGCCCCAGGACGUGUGGGCAGCUGAGGCAUGCGUUUUCUAUUGCGUCUGCCUUCAGAGCCUUCAUUUAUCAGCCUGGAGUAGGUCCAAAAGAGAUAUUUGCGGACAUAAAGGUUACAUUCCGCACGUCUGCAUUAAACAUCCGACUCAGCACUCGCAUUAUCACCCAGCAAUACCAGGAAAAAUCAGCCACGUCUCAGAACCAGCACUGCAGAGCAUGCAUUCCUUCAUGAAGCACAAAGAGGCGGGUCACUUUAACCUCUUACACUCCCUGUUUCCCAGACAUGGAUUAGGCCUAGUCUUCGACUGAACUGCAGUGCUGAUGGU
This is an RNA transcript of Colossoma macropomum (tambaqui), 2265 nucleotides long. It is a transcript of the gene named surfactant protein Ba, with no coding region annotated. The record is from RefSeq and is a predicted model, not a curated record. The transcript is spliced from 15 exons. Lineage: Eukaryota; Metazoa; Chordata; Actinopteri; Characiformes; Serrasalmidae.